This 505-nucleotide ribosomal RNA is filed under the name uncultured bacterium. Its description in RNAcentral is "partial 16S ribosomal RNA". It matches the Rfam family "Bacterial small subunit ribosomal RNA", at positions 28 to 507 of the family's 1533-position model. The record is from RNAcentral.
GACGAACGCUGGCGGCGUGCCUAAUACAUGCAAGUAGAACGCACAGUUUAUACCGUAGCUUGCUACACCAUAAACUGUGAGUUGCGAACGGGUGAGUAACGCGUAGGUAACCUGCCUGGUAGCGGGGGAUAACUAUUGGAAACGAUAGCUAAUACCGCAUAAUAUUGAUUAUUGCAUGAUAAUUGAUUGAAAGAUGCUAUUGCAUCACUACCAGAUGGACCUGCGUUGUAUUAGCUAGUAGGUGAGGUAACGGCUCACCUAGGCGACGAUACAUAGCCGACCUGAGAGGGUGAUCGGCCACACUGGGACUGAGACACGGCCCAGACUCCUACGGGAGGCAGCAGUAGGGAAUCUUCGGCAAUGGACGAAAGUCUGACCGAGCAACGCCGCGUGAGUGAAGAAGGUUUUCGGAUCGUAAAGCUCUGUUGUAAGAGAAGAACGGGUGGGAGAGUGGAAAGUUCACACUGUGACGGUAUCUUACCAGAAAGGGACGGCUAACUACGUG